RNAcentral lists this ribosomal RNA (342 nucleotides) under Triticum aestivum (bread wheat). Its description in RNAcentral is "partial small subunit ribosomal RNA". Lineage: Eukaryota; Viridiplantae; Streptophyta; Magnoliopsida; Poales; Poaceae. The record is from RNAcentral.
AUGAAGGUCAACUUUGAAGAUGAGGUGCAAGCAUUGUUGCUGCUGAGUUCCAUGCCUGAUAGUUGGAACACGCUUGUUGUGUCACUUAGCAAUUCAGCUCCGGAUGAGAAGCUGACUUUGGAGAUGGUGAAGAACAAUAUGCUGAAUGAAGAAGCCAGAAAGAAGGAAAAAGGUGAUGCCUCUUCUUCUGAUGUGUAUGUGGCUGAAACCCAUGGAAAGAAUGAGAACCAUGGACGCAACAAUACAAGAUUUCAGCAAGGCAAAAGCAAAUCCAGGGGGGAUCAAAGUCAAAACAGAGAAACGAUAUUACUUGCUUUCAUUGUGGCAAUCCGGGACACAUAA